Brassica napus (rape) is the source of this 809-nucleotide long non-coding RNA. RefSeq lists it as uncharacterized. The transcript has 3 exons. Lineage: Eukaryota; Viridiplantae; Streptophyta; Magnoliopsida; Brassicales; Brassicaceae. The record is from RefSeq and is a predicted model, not a curated record.
AUCCAUAAUACCCCCAGUUAAUAAUACAACUAACAAAUAAAAAAAGAAAAGAAAAUGAUUCUUCUUCUCUCUCGACAACGUUACGAAGAAUCACCUCCUCCGACGAAUCACCUCCGGCGACGAGCUGUUGAUAAUCUCCGGCGACGAACGUAACGAGAUGUGUAUCGGUAUGCUUUAAUCGUUAUUAUCAAUGUUUUAUGAAGAAAAGUUCAAUUUUACUUAGGGUUUUCGACUUGAAAUUUGGGGGUUUCAGUUUGUUGUUCUCCAGAUAACACAUUUGAACUUGUUUUGUUGUUUGAAUCAAACAGAAAAGGCAGAAUCAGAGUCGCAAAGAAGAAAUUUCAGGAAGCUUUAUUUACAAAUAAAUUUGGUUUACGGAAGAAGACGAGUUUGUGACUUUGCUUUUGUGCUCGUGUGGAGUGUUGAGGAAUCUCGUUGGUGUUGAAGAGAUCAAGAGGUAUAUGAUUGAAGAAGACGAUACGAUGACAACUUUCAUUAAGCUUAUUGGAUCGAAGGAAGAGAUUGUUCAGGACAGGGACACAAUGGGAGUUUCAAUACCUUAAUUACUAGCUCUGCCUGAGCUCAAGUAUCCAAUUGGAUCAGAGCCAAAGUGAUUGAAGAACAUGACCAAUUUUGGUUUGGAUCAUCGCCUCCUCUCAACGUCAUCGGAAAAAAAUCAAAUGCUGAAGCGACGAGCACCGAUCAAAAGUUUUGUUCUCCGCUCUCUGAAUCUGAGAUCUACAUAACUUCUCUCAUUUGUAUUUUUAUUGAACACCUUAUGGUCACAAAUAAAGUUUAUUCCAAAAGAA